UUUAGAUCCUCUGCUGUGGGGAGAGGUUUCUUGGUGACAUGAUGGACAGCAGCCAAUCAAACUGCCAGGACCAGUUUCCUCUUCUCCAUAUAAAGAAAAUGCUGUGAGUAUACUUUCACAGUGGUCCCAAGAUUGUGUUAAUUUUAUGUGCCUACCUAUUAGCUGUUCUAAUCCCAAUAAAGACUGUAACCAUGGAACUUGGCUUAACGCUGA
Non-coding RNA from Podarcis lilfordi (Lilford's wall lizard), 213 nucleotides. The record is from the annotation of a GenBank genome assembly. Lineage: Eukaryota; Metazoa; Chordata; Lepidosauria; Squamata; Lacertidae.